This 466-nucleotide ribosomal RNA is filed under the name Vreelandella stevensii. RNAcentral's name for it is "partial 16S ribosomal RNA". It matches the Rfam family "Bacterial small subunit ribosomal RNA", at positions 338 to 795 of the family's 1533-position model. Lineage: Bacteria; Pseudomonadati; Pseudomonadota; Gammaproteobacteria; Oceanospirillales; Halomonadaceae. The record is from RNAcentral.
CCUACGGGGGGCUGCAGUGGGGAAUAUUGGACAAUGGGGGGAACCCUGAUCCAGCCAUGCCGCGUGUGUGAAGAAGGCCCUCGGGUUGUAAAGCACUUUCAGUGAGGAAGAACGCCUGGUGGUUAAUACCCAUCAGGAAAGACAUCACUCACAGAAGAAGCACCGGCUAACUCCGUGCCAGCAGCCGCGGUAAUACGGAGGGUGCGAGCGUUAAUCGGAAUUACUGGGCGUAAAGCGCGCGUAGGUGGCUUGAUAAGCCGGUUGUGAAAGCCCCGGGCUCAACCUGGGAACGGCAUCCGGAACUGUCAAGCUAGAGUGCAGGAGAGGAAGGUAGAAUUCCCGGUGUAGCGGUGAAAUGCGUAGAGAUCGGGAGGAAUACCAGUGGCGAAGGCGGCCUUCUGGACUGACACUGACACUGAGGUGCGAAAGCGUGGGUAGCAAACAGGAUUAGAUACCCUUUGUAGUC